GUUUUUAAACCUGUAGAAUCUUGACUUGUCAUGGCUUGAGCAGAUGUGGGUGAACACAGUGGAUGGUUUCAUGGCCUCAGCAGUGUUCUUAGGGAAAAUAUUUUUUAGUACUGUUGGUAAAUCUCUUAUUUCUUGACAUUGGAAUGCAGAUAAAUGAGAAUAUAUGGACAAACUUAGAGAAAACCAUAUAAACGUAACCCUUUCAAUCUUGAAAUUGUUAUUAAAAUGCAUUUUACAAUAAUGUGUGUCAAAUCACUAUCCUCUAUUUUUUUCCACACUCUCUUUAAAUAUAGAGUGGGUCAGGAGGAGUUUUCAGAGAAGAGUCUGUGAUAGGGUGUUUGUGAUUCCGGGAGCUGUUUUGGUAUGUGCUAUGCUAUUACACCUGGCACCAGUCCUGGACCUGCCUUUGAUAUUUAGGACUGUCAGAUUGAAACUUAGAUCUUGAGUACCAGAAGGAGUUUCAAAGAUACAUUUGUGAAAUACUCAGAAAUAUUAGAUGCGGGACAUCUCUGAGUGGUUGUAUAUUGCACUCCACUUUGCAAAUGAAAUAAAACACUGGAAGAAGACAUACAUAAGAGAAAAAGCAUUGCUCUCAGCUUUUACGCCGUUUCCUAGUUUAUUUGGGACUCUGUCCUCUACCCAGACAUCGGUCAUUUGAGAUCCGUGCCAGUGAUUUUUAAGAGGAGAUAGAAGCAUGACUUGAACUGUUCCUCGACGACUUAACCCCUUGACUUUUUAUUCAUUACAAUAAAUGUAAUGAAUCUUCACCA
Molecule: long non-coding RNA, 770 nt
Organism: Vulpes vulpes (red fox)
Lineage: Eukaryota; Metazoa; Chordata; Mammalia; Carnivora; Canidae
Source: Ensembl